RNAcentral lists this long non-coding RNA (1452 nucleotides) under Anas platyrhynchos platyrhynchos (common mallard). Its description in RNAcentral is "lncRNA (ENSAPLG00000019211.1)". Lineage: Eukaryota; Metazoa; Chordata; Aves; Anseriformes; Anatidae. The record is from RNAcentral.
AUGUCGUGGCUAACGAGGGUGACGAAGUCGAAGGAGAAGCCGGAGUCGGAGAGCUCUCAGGCUCUGGAGGAGAGGGGGCUGCUGGAGCAGGCAAUGCUGGAGCACGGGCGGGAUCCUUGGGAUCCCAAAAUGGUAAGCCAGGAUCCCACCCUCCAAGCUGCCGAAAGGCACUGGCUAAGCUACAUUGCCGUGAAUCAUCCUAAAGGAGAGAAGAAGUGCUCGGCCCUGCAGUGGCUGCUGUUCGAUCUGGCCAGUGUCUUGCAAGCCACGGUGGAAGAGAAGGAGCAAUGCAUAAAGAGCCUGCAGAACAACCUGCAGCUGGCCCAGAACGAAAUCCUGGCGCUGCGCUGUGAUAAAGCCCUGCUAAGCGAGCAGGCCGAGCAAGUCAGAAAAAUAAAAGAAGAACUCCGGGCAGAGAGUGCCGAUAACGCCCGGUUAAGAAAGAAAGUGCAGUGUUUGGGUAAGCUGCUAUCCCUCGGGAAAGGCUUGGACCAGAGGAAGGUAGCGGCUCUGAGCGAGACAAAUGGCAACCUGGAGAUGUUGGAUGGGGAGAAUGUGGAGAACCAGGAAAACUCUGCGGGGCAAGGGGUGGGAGCCAGAAAAAUAAAGCCGGAGGAGGGAGAUGGAAACCAGGGAGCGGGGGAUGUGUCCAGAAAAGAGAAAGUUUGGAAGAAACAGAGGGAGGGGUGGCCUGUGUGGGUUAACCGAAUUUGGGCUUUAGAACAGCACACACCUUUCACGUACGAGGCGGCGAAGCGGGUGGUGACAGCCAUAGGGCUGCCCUGGCCCAAGGUGGGGGCGAUCAUCAGAGCCUUGCCCCCCGAAGAGGCCCUGGGGGGAGAGAUCCUAAGGCUGGUGAUUAGAAAUCUGGGAGAAUAUGAGCCUCUCAAGGAUAACAUGGAAGGGGCGCCCUGGGCAGACGUCCAGGAGGUGUCAGCCUACGUGUGUGGGAAUGUGGUGCUCCGGGUGCUAAAGCAGCAGGAGAAGCCGGUGACCGCCGACUUCGACAUCCACGGGGUGAAUGUGGAGCAGGCAGACAUAGGGGUGCUGGCCUGCCGCGCUCCGGAGCUGCAUAAGGGGUUUUUCAUCAGCUUGGGGUCUACUUUGAUCGGCCGUCCCCUCCACGAGUGCAUGGACACGUUGGAGAACUUGGGGACCCUGAUGGGAGCGGAGGGCAAAGAGAAGGCAAAGAAGAACGCGGUGGGGGUAAAGACAAGGACGUACAUCCCUAGAGGGAUAAUUUGGAAGUAUUUAAUAAAUCAGGGAGUGAACGAAAGAGAGCUGGAUAGUCAGCCCACAGGGGUUUUGCUUGCCAAAAUGAAAAAAAUCCUUCAGGAAAAGGGGAUGAAACAAGAGGAGAUCUGGGAAAAACUGAAGCAAACGAAGCUGUCACCUCCUCCUCCUGUCCCAAAGAGAAAACUAUACCCGUUGGUGAGGGACCUUAAAGACUAG